AAUUAAAAAACGAUUUGCAACUUCUGCCAACUUCAACCAAGCAGUGGCUGCAGAAUUCACAAACGAAUCAACGCCGAAGGCUGCAAAAAUUUACGUGGAUUCGUCUUCAGAUCCAACUGCUAUUUCGGCGCAAAUUUUGGAAAACAAAAAAACUAUAACUACUAACCAGCAAAAGUUUGAUGAGCGCCUUCAAAAUUUGGAGAAGGCUCGUCACAAAAAUGCAAUCGAUAAUACAACGCUAAUGGCACAAAACCAGACCAUUCGCGAAUGUAAAGUGCGAACUUGAAGACGAGAUGCAAAUAGAGAUCGCUGCAACGUUGCCCUUGGCAGGUAUUGUCGCAGCAAAUAAUGUCGAAGAAAAGCUGGAAAAACAUGAAUACUUCGAAUCAAUGAAAAUCUACUUGUUCCAAAUGAAAUGAAGCAACGGAACGGUGGAUGACGUUUACCGAAGGGUCAUGACCAGGCAUGAGCAGAAAACGAGCACACGCUCAAAGAGCGUAAUC
Rhagoletis zephyria (snowberry fruit fly) is the source of this 503-nucleotide long non-coding RNA. RefSeq lists it as uncharacterized. The record is from RefSeq and is a predicted model, not a curated record. Lineage: Eukaryota; Metazoa; Arthropoda; Insecta; Diptera; Tephritidae.